AGAAAAUUAGUUAAAAAAUAAUAUAAGGUUGUCAGUCUUACGUUACUAUUUGUAGUAUUUUCUA
RNAcentral lists this transfer RNA (64 nucleotides) under Coralliophila richardi. RNAcentral describes it as "tRNA-Asp". Lineage: Eukaryota; Metazoa; Mollusca; Gastropoda; Neogastropoda; Muricidae. The record is from RNAcentral.